This 72-nucleotide transfer RNA is filed under the name bacterium. RNAcentral describes it as "tRNA-Glu". It matches the Rfam family "tRNA". From Rfam's summary of the family: Transfer RNA (tRNA) molecules are approximately 80 nucleotides in length. Their secondary structure includes four short double-helical elements and three loops (D, anti-codon, and T loops). The record is from RNAcentral. RNAcentral also lists the same sequence under 2 other names.
GGCCCCAUCGUCUAGUGGUUAGGACAUUUGGUUUUCAUCCAAAAAACUGGGUUUCGACUACCCAUGGGGCCG